This 96-nucleotide small nucleolar RNA is filed under the name Huiozyma naganishii CBS 8797. Lineage: Eukaryota; Fungi; Ascomycota; Saccharomycetes; Saccharomycetales; Saccharomycetaceae. The record is from RNAcentral.
UUCUAUGAUGAUAAACCAAUAACAACAACAACUUGAAUUUCUUCAACCGAAACCUACAGGUGGAUACACUUUUGACAUAGCUUUUUAACACUGAUU